Molecule: unclassified non-coding RNA, 679 nt
Filed under: Hevea brasiliensis (rubber tree)
Lineage: Eukaryota; Viridiplantae; Streptophyta; Magnoliopsida; Malpighiales; Euphorbiaceae
Source: RNAcentral
AUCAUGUUCAAGCAGAACCCAUCCCUCAGGAUCUCGUCAGCAUACAGAGUGCGGUCACCAAGCCGCCCCUCGACAUACUUCAAGUAACCACACCGCCGUAGCAGACGGCGCAACACAUCCUCCCUCGAAUUGAUGACCUCAAAGAGAUGCUCCGCCGUCGGCCGGUCCACCUUCCUCCCGGACCGCCGCCAUAUCCUGACCUGCACCUUGUCGCGGAAUUGCCCGUAGGCAUCCUGCAGGAGCGCGGCAAACACGCUUCCCCAGGCGCCGGCUCCGACACCGACAAUCCUCAGAAGGUCUCCGUCCUGUUUCCCGAGGAGGCACCGGAGACUGUCGAGCUUCUCCUCCGCCCCGUUCAGACCGUGGACUGAGCCAUUUGAGUGGGGAGGAGGCGAAUUAUCAGCUCCGUCUACACAGCCACCCAUUUCAAUCUAAAAUCUGUUACUUGUGAUGUAUCGCCCUUUUUAAAUGGGUGUUGGGGUUAGCGAGCUACCCAAGAAAACGUGUCGAGGGAUCCAAUGGGGCGGGAUUUCUUUAUCAAUUGGGUUUGAAUUGGCUGUGGAUGUCGCUUUUGGUGCGGAUUUCAACGGCGGCGACAACGGAGUAGGUGGCAGGGGUGGGUGGGGGAUAGGUGGGGUUCCGGCGACAGAAGGAGGGUGGAGAAGGGCGGCGAGCGGAG